RNAcentral lists this long non-coding RNA (1549 nucleotides) under Olea europaea (common olive). Its description in RNAcentral is "long non-coding RNA (OEUR_LNC007578)". Lineage: Eukaryota; Viridiplantae; Streptophyta; Magnoliopsida; Lamiales; Oleaceae. The record is from RNAcentral.
UCUGCAACAGAAUUAUCCAUGGGAAAAAAAACUAAAAAUAUUCAAAUACAAGACAUUAUUAACAUAAAUGCACUUACAUGAUCUAAAAAGCAAAAUUAACAGAUACUCUUCAGAAAUCUCAAAGUUGACAAGUUUUUCAUAAUUGCAAGAUUGAGUUCAUGUCCACCGAUCAAUGUUAUUGUAAGUUCAUAAUUUUAUCAACACAAUCAAUUAUAUUACUAAUGUCGUAGGUUGCCCAUAGUGGCUAAAUUGAUAUGGAUUGUGCUACUUGUACAUUAAAAUUGUACAUAAGGGGUUACAUAAUAUGAUGUGUUGGAUGAAAAAGUUGACUAUGUUUUGAACUAACAAAUGGUAAAGUGACGCACGGCAUUAUGUAACCUAUUAGGUAAUCCCUGAAGUACAUAUAGCAAGAUCCAAUUGGUAUAUUAUAUUCUCCUAGAUUAUCAACAAAAUCCAUAAUUUUAAGCUGCAAUUAAGUUUUUAACAGCCUAAUCAUGUAUACAAUUGGGUUUUUCACACUUAUUUAAGUUCACAGUGUUAUUUUUUGUAGUGGAAAAAAUAACCAUAAAACAAUCAUAGAAUUACUGAACAUGCGUAUUCUAUAAUGCGUAUUGCUGUCUGGAUGGGUUUUACAUGCUCUGAAAAUAUUAUCCAACCGGGAUCGAUAAGGUUUAAAGUUUUUGAAUACAGCUUGAUAUGCAUGACAGUAUAUUUGAUACGUUUCCUUCAUCUUCAUAUCUUAUAAUACAUAUUUGCCGGCAAAUACAAGAUAAUUCACCGCAAGAAGGUUGUAGUCACCAGCUAUAUACUAAAAUAGGGCAGCAGGAAUGGUGCAAUCGUUGCACUGAUUAGAUUAGCUUAAUAAAAGUACAGAAAAAAGUCCGUAGAAAACCAAAUUAAAUAGAGGAUUGUUUACGAGCACAAGACACGAACCAAGUACCAAACAAAAGCAGGUUUCAUUUUACAAUUGUGUAUUUUACUAUCUCCAAUCGUCAAUUCUUGAAUUAAUUGAAAAAAUCAAAUAAAGGUUUCAAAGUCAAUUAAUUCAACCGCUUCAGACAUUAAUUGGAAUCGUGAAUUGAAAAUUGUUAAAGCCAGUUUCCCUAAAUUUCAAAAACACACUCCCGUAAGAAACGAACGAGUGUGUGUGUGUGUGUAUGUAUCACGCGCACAGCAGAGAGAUGAGGAAGAAAAACCUAACCCGAACGAAGCGAAGCUUUGAAUGAAGAGCAGGUAGCGAUCGAGAAAAUAGGAGCACUCUGGACAGAACUACGAAUUUGGGAAAUUAGAAGGUAGAAAACCAAAUUAAAUAGAGGAUUGUUUACGAGCACAAGACACGAACCAAGUACCAAACAAAAGCAGGUUUCAUUUUACAAUUGUGUAUUUUACUAUCUCCAAUCGUCAAUUCUUGAAUUAAUUGAAAAAAUCAAAUAAAGGUUUCAAAGUCAAUUAAUUCAACCGCUUCAGACAUUAAUUGGAAUCGUGAAUUGAAAAUUGUUAAAGCCAGUUUCCCUAAAUUUCAAAAACACACUCCCGUAAGAAACGAACG